Molecule: ribosomal RNA, 505 nt
Filed under: uncultured bacterium
Lineage: Bacteria
Description: partial 16S ribosomal RNA
Rfam family: Bacterial small subunit ribosomal RNA
Source: RNAcentral
GACGAACGCUGGCGGCGUGCCUAAUACAUGCAAGUAGAACGCACAGUUUAUACCGUAGCUUGCUACACCAUAGACUGUGAGUUGCGAACGGGUGAGUAACGCGUAGGUGACCUGCCUGGUAGCGGGGGAUAACUAUUGGAAACGAUAGCUAAUACCGCAUAAUAUUGAUUAUUGCAUGAUAAUUGAUUGAAAGAUGCUAUUGCAUCACUACCAGAUGGACCUGCGUUGUAUUAGCUAGUAGGUGAGGUAACGGCUCACCUAGGCGACGAUACAUAGCCGACCGGAGAGGGUGAGCGGCCACACUGGGACUGAGACACGGCCCAGACUCCUACGGGAGGCAGCAGUAGGGAAUCUUCGGCAAUGGACGAAAGUCUGACCGAGCAACGCCGCGUGAGGGAAGAAGGUUGUCGGAUCGUAAAGCUCUGUUGUAAGAGAAGAACGGGUGUGAGAGUGGAAAGUUCACACUGUGACGGUAUCUGACCAGAAAGGGACGGCUAACUACGUG